AUGGGAGGUUUGAUCCUGGCUCAGGACGAACGCUGGCGGCGUGCCUAAUACAUGCAAGUCGAGCGAAGAAUUUCUGGUGCUUGCACUAGAAAUUCUUAGCGGCGAACGGGUGAGUAACACGUAAAGAACCUGCCUUAUAGACUGGGAUAACUACGGGAAACUGUAGCUAAUACCGGAUAACAACAUUUUCCGCAUGGGAGAUGUUUAAAAGUUGGUGAAGCUAACACUAUAAGAUGGCUUUGCGGAGCAUUAGCUAGUUGGUGGGAUAAAAGCCUACCAAGGCGACGAUGCAUAGCCGACCUGAGAGGGUGAACGGCCACAUUGGGACUGAGACACGGCCCAAACUCCUACGGGAGGCAGCAGUAGGGAAUCUUCCGCAAUGGACGAAAGUCUGACGGAGCAACGCCGCGUGAGUGAAGAAGGAUUUCGGUUCGUAAAGCUCUGUUGUUAGGGAAGAAAGGUUGUGUAGUAACUAUACACAAAACAGACGGUACCUAACCAGAAAGCCACGCU
This 513-nucleotide ribosomal RNA is filed under the name Gemella bergeri. RNAcentral describes it as "bacterial SSU rRNA". It matches the Rfam family "Bacterial small subunit ribosomal RNA", at positions 1 to 497 of the family's 1533-position model. The record is from RNAcentral. Lineage: Bacteria; Bacillati; Bacillota; Bacilli; Caryophanales; Gemellaceae.